RNAcentral lists this long non-coding RNA (416 nucleotides) under Equus asinus (donkey). RNAcentral describes it as "lncRNA (ENSEASG00005028936.1)". Lineage: Eukaryota; Metazoa; Chordata; Mammalia; Perissodactyla; Equidae. The record is from RNAcentral.
CAGAGGCCCCUGGCAACUUGUGCCGGAUGGAAUAUAGCAUGAGUCCGUGCCCGGGAACUCAACCUGAGCUGCCAAAGUGGAGCAUGCCGCACUUCACCUCUAGGCCACCGGGGCUGGCCCUCACUCUUAUUUAUUUAUUAUUUACUGCUGGAGGAAUAUGCAUAUCUAUAUUCUCUUGACUUAUGCAUCAUUUUGGGGACGUUGGAGAACUGUAGACAGUUCUACAUGGACCUACAUGGUUCUGACAGUGAAACGUUGGCCCAUCUUUUGUUCAUCUUGUUCUACAGAGCUCGGCUGGUUUUACAUCUAAUCCUCAUCCUGGUGCUUUUGCUGGGCUGCUUCAGCCCAAACCAGCUGGGCUCCAGGGCAGAGAGCAGUAACUCAAUGGACUACGGCUGUGGUUGCACUGAUGGAUG